AGUAGGAUAGCUGGGUCAAAUGGUGGUGCCAUUCCUAGUUUUCUGAGGAAUCUCCAUACUGCUUUCCAUAGUGGUUGCACUAAUUUGUAAUCCCACCAGCAAU
RNAcentral lists this microRNA precursor (103 nucleotides) under Marmota monax (woodchuck). Lineage: Eukaryota; Metazoa; Chordata; Mammalia; Rodentia; Sciuridae. The record is from RNAcentral.